AAAUCCGUCGACUUUAGAAAUCGUGAGGG
Molecule: transfer RNA, 29 nt
Filed under: Sambucus nigra (European elder)
Lineage: Eukaryota; Viridiplantae; Streptophyta; Magnoliopsida; Dipsacales; Adoxaceae
Also listed under: 6 other names
Description: partial tRNA-Leu
Source: RNAcentral